AGGUAUCGGAUUACUGGGCGUAAGCGCGCGUAGGCGGCUAAUUAAGUCAAAUGUGAAAUCCCCGAGCUUAACUUGGGAAUUGCAUUCGAUACUGGUUAGCUAGAGUGUGGGAGAGGAUGGUAGAAUUCCAGGUGUAGCGGUGAAAUGCGUAGAGAUCUGGAGGAAUACCGAUGGCGAAGGCAGCCAUCUGGCCUAACACUGACGCUGAGGUGCGAAAGCAUGGGGAGCAAACAGGAUUAGAUACCCUGGUAGUCCAUGCCGUAAACGAUGUCUACUAGCCGUUGGGGCCUUUGAGGCUUUAGUGGCGCAGCUAACGCGAUAAGUAGACCGCCUGGGGAGUACGGUCGCAAGACUAAAACUCAAAUGAAUUGACGGGGGCCCGCACAAGCGGUGGAGCAUGUGGUUUAAUUCGAUGCAACGCGAAGAACCUUACCUGGCCUUGACAUAGUAAGAACUUUCCAGAGAUGGAUUGGUGCCUUCGGGAACUUACAUACAGGUGC
This 500-nucleotide ribosomal RNA is filed under the name Acinetobacter sp. KCB 12. RNAcentral's name for it is "bacterial SSU rRNA". It matches the Rfam family "Bacterial small subunit ribosomal RNA", at positions 540 to 1041 of the family's 1533-position model. The record is from RNAcentral. Lineage: Bacteria; Pseudomonadati; Pseudomonadota; Gammaproteobacteria; Moraxellales; Moraxellaceae.